Molecule: transfer RNA, 71 nt
Filed under: Heterocephalus glaber (naked mole-rat)
Lineage: Eukaryota; Metazoa; Chordata; Mammalia; Rodentia; Bathyergidae
Rfam family: tRNA
About the family: Transfer RNA (tRNA) molecules are approximately 80 nucleotides in length. Their secondary structure includes four short double-helical elements and three loops (D, anti-codon, and T loops).
Source: Rfam by way of RNAcentral
CCAGUCAUAGCUCAGUGGGUAGAGGAUGAGACUCUUAAUCUCAGGAUCAUGGGUUCAAGCCCCACGUUGGG